CAGCUCAGGGGCCCCUCGUGUCUAGAGAGACUAAAACCACAGGUCUCAGCCCCUGAGCCCCUAAUGUCAGGUGCAAGUCAGCCAAGGAAUGAGGUUUUGAGAAAGGCAGGAGAGAAACUCUGGGGCAAUGCCAGGUGCUGACGGGGCUGUGCUCAUCCUUCCUCUUCCCAAACCAGUCCCAGCUGGAUUCUGCAGCCUCUUGAGGUAUUCUGACACAAGGACCCAGUGCUGAAUGAUUUAGUGCCUCUCAGCUGCAGCCAGAUAAUGCUACUCCCAGGUACUUAAACUUCCCUAAUCAGCCUCUUGAGUUGUUUUGUUUCCUGAGUGGCUUUGAGUCCAUAGAACACUGUGGAAGAGAGAAACCUUCUGCUGCUCCUCUCCACCAUCAGCAGCUUUCUGCUUCCAGCAAUGACAUGGCACUGCCACACAAUGUGUCAGACAACGGCGAUUUGUGACUGUAAGUCACACUGGGAACUACUGGCCUGCUCUGCCUUGGAUAUCUUAAGAACUUAAGAAAAUGUAAUGUACUUGAUUAUCAAGUGACAUUAGAAAAUUUAAUUAAACCGCCCAUAAAUAAAUUGUACAAACAAA
Molecule: long non-coding RNA, 591 nt
Organism: Pipra filicauda (Wire-tailed manakin)
Lineage: Eukaryota; Metazoa; Chordata; Aves; Passeriformes; Pipridae
Exons: 3
Source: RefSeq, a predicted model, not a curated record